CCUACGGGAGGCUGCAGUGAGGAAUAUUGGUCAAUGGACGGAAGUCUGAACCAGCCAUGCCGCGUGCAGGAAGACGGCUCUAUGAGUUAUAAACUGCUUUUGUACAAGGGUAAACCUGAAUACGUGUAUUCAGCUGAAAGUACUGUACGAAUAAGGAUCGGCUAACUGCGUGCCAGCAGCCGCGGUAAUACGGAGGAUCCAAGCGUUAUCCGGAUUUAUUGGGUUUAAAGGGUGCGUAGGCGGAUUGAUAAGUUAGAGGUGAAAUGUCCGAGCUUAAAACGGCAACUGCCUGUAAUACUGUUGAGCUAGAGAGUAGAUGAGGUAGGCGGAAUGUGUGGUGUAGCGGUGAAAUGCAUAGAGAUCAUACAGAACACCGAUUGCGAAGGCAGCUUACCAGUCUAUAUCUGACGUUGAGGCACGAAAGCGUGGGGAGCAAACAGGAUUAGAUACCCGAGUAGUC
RNAcentral lists this ribosomal RNA (460 nucleotides) under uncultured bacterium. Its description in RNAcentral is "partial 16S ribosomal RNA". It matches the Rfam family "Bacterial small subunit ribosomal RNA", at positions 338 to 795 of the family's 1533-position model. The record is from RNAcentral.